RNAcentral lists this ribosomal RNA (528 nucleotides) under uncultured bacterium. RNAcentral's name for it is "bacterial SSU rRNA". It matches the Rfam family "Bacterial small subunit ribosomal RNA", at positions 982 to 1509 of the family's 1533-position model. The record is from RNAcentral.
GUACAUCCAGAGAAUUUAGCAGAGAUGCUUUAGUGCCUUCGGGAACUCUGAGACAGGUGCUGCAUGGCUGUCGUCAGCUCGUGUUGUGAAAUGUUGGGUUAAGUCCCGCAACGAGCGCAACCCUUAUCCUUUGUUGCCAGCACGUAAUGGUGGGAACUCAAAGGAGACUGCCGGUGAUAAACCGGAGGAAGGUAGGGAUGACGUCAAGUCAUCAUGGCCCUUACGAGUAGGGCUACACACGUGCUACAAUGGCGCAUACAAAGAGAAGCGACCUCGCGAGAGCAAGCGGACCUCAUAAAGUGCGUCGUAGUCCGGAUUGGAGUCUGCAACUCGACUCCAUGAAGUCGGAAUCGCUAGUAAUCGUAAAUCAGAAUGUUACGGUGAAUACGUUCCCGGGCCUUGUACACACCGCCCGUCACACCAUGGGAGUGGGUUGCAAAAGAAGUAGAUAGCUUAACCUUCGGGAGGGCGUUUACCACUUUGUGAUUCAUGACUGGGGUGAAGUCGUAACAAGGUAAGCGUAGUGCU